Paramuricea clavata is the source of this 195-nucleotide non-coding RNA. The record is from the annotation of a GenBank genome assembly. Lineage: Eukaryota; Metazoa; Cnidaria; Anthozoa; Malacalcyonacea; Plexauridae.
UUCCAUCAGGGGGGGAGGAGCUGGACUGGAAUGAGGGGGCUUUCAAGGCAACACGAUAAAACACACGAUAUAAAUUAUUACUUUAUCAUGCUGUAUUCGACAAUAAACAAGUAUUAAACAUUUAUAUCGUGUGUUUUAUCGUGUUGCUUUGAAAGCCCCCUCAUUCCAGUCCAGCUCCUCCCCCCCCCUUAUGGA